RNAcentral lists this transfer RNA (64 nucleotides) under Sciodrepoides watsoni. Its description in RNAcentral is "tRNA-Pro". Lineage: Eukaryota; Metazoa; Arthropoda; Insecta; Coleoptera; Leiodidae. The record is from RNAcentral.
CAGAAAAUAGUUUAAUUAAAAUAUUAAUUUUGGAGAUUAAUGAUAAGAAAGUUCUUUUUUCUGA